GCAAAGGGGAAAAACUCUGUAGCCCUUGUCAGGCAAGCAAACAUCUGGCUCUCAUCAGUCUUAUCGUGGCUUACUUGAUGACUUUGAACUGUUUGUCUCUCGUAAAAAAUAUGUUAACAGAGAAGAUUACAAAACUGUGCCAGAGUUCCACCAGUUCAACUCUUUGGGGUCGGGGAUCUCGUUGUCGCUAUAUUUUCUUUUGUUGAUUAGCCAAACAUGGUUGUUGGAGGCGCAUAACGAACAGAACGGUGAGCGUGGGGAAGUGGCUGGAGAAAUUGGAUGUGGAAAAAAAUGGCGGAAGCAGAUGAUGAAGUGGAUUCUGAAUCUAAUAGUGGUAGAAUCAAGGAGAAUUGGAAUAUUGUCCAAAAGAAAGGAAAAAGGAGCAAAGUAGAGUACAGAGAAAAGAAUGUCACUUCGUAUCUUGUAGGAGUACGGUUUGUAAAUGAGGAGCAGCUGAACGAAUUACCAAUAUUGAGGAAUCCAUUUGAGAUAUCCAAACUGGUGGAAAGAGUGCUGGGAAGAGUGAAGGCUGUGAUGAUCACUAGAGGCGGGUUUGUUUAGAUUUUUUGUGCUUCUGAGGAAUAGAAGAAACGUCUGUUGCGUCUCACCCGAUUUGAUAAAUUUGAAGUGUCGUGUGUGUCUCUUAGGAACAGGGCACAUCUCAAGGGGCUUAUAUCUGGCGUAUCGUGGGAAGUAUAUGUUGAUGAGACAAAACAUAUUCCUGGAGUAAUUGAUGCACGUCUGAUGAAUCGUAGGUGAAUGAAGAAAAGACCUGAGCCCUAGGACCAUGCCUCAGGACUACCUGGUAUGAUGACUCCUUGCUGUCCCCAGUCCACCUGGCCGUGCUGCUGCUCCAGUUUCAACUGUUCUGC
RNAcentral lists this long non-coding RNA (872 nucleotides) under Salmo salar (Atlantic salmon). Its description in RNAcentral is "lncRNA (ENSSSAG00000114378.1)". Lineage: Eukaryota; Metazoa; Chordata; Actinopteri; Salmoniformes; Salmonidae. The record is from RNAcentral.